RNAcentral lists this ribosomal RNA (253 nucleotides) under uncultured bacterium. Its description in RNAcentral is "partial 16S ribosomal RNA". It matches the Rfam family "Bacterial small subunit ribosomal RNA", at positions 524 to 776 of the family's 1533-position model. The record is from RNAcentral.
UACGUAGGGCGCAAGCGUUAUCCGGAAUUAUUGGGCGUAAAGAGCUCGUAGGCGGUUUGUCGCGUCUGCCGUGAAAGUCCGGGGCUCAACUCCGGAUCUGCGGUGGGUACGGGCAGGCUAGAGUGAUGUAGGGGAGGCUGGAAUUCCUGGUGUAGCGGUGAAAUGCGCAGAUAUCAGGAGGAACACCGAUGGCGAAGGCAGGUCUCUGGGCAUUAACUGACGCUGAGGAGCGAAAGCAUGGGGAGCGAACAGG